RNAcentral lists this ribosomal RNA (253 nucleotides) under uncultured bacterium. RNAcentral describes it as "partial 16S ribosomal RNA". It matches the Rfam family "Bacterial small subunit ribosomal RNA", at positions 524 to 776 of the family's 1533-position model. The record is from RNAcentral.
UACGUAGGGUGCAAGCGUUGUCCGGAAUUAUUGGGCGUAAAGAGCUCGUAGGCGGUCUGUCGCGUCGGCUGUGAAAACUCGGGGCUCAACUCCGAGCUUGCAGUCGAUACGGGCAGGCUAGAGUUCGGCAGGGGAGACUGGAAUUCCUGGUGUAGCGGUGAAAUGCGCAGAUAUCAGGAGGAACACCGGUGGCGAAGGCGGGUCUCUGGGCCGAUACUGACGCUGAGGAGCGAAAGCGUGGGGAGCAAACGGG